UACGUAGGGCGCAAGCGUUAUCCGGAAUUAUUGGGCGUAAAGAGCUCGUAGGCGGUUUGUCGCGUCUGCCGUGAAAGUCCGGGGCUCAACUUCGGAUCUGCGGUGGGUACGGGCAGGCUAGAGUGAUGUAGGGGAGACUGGAAUUCCUGGUGUAGCGGUGAAAUGCGCAGAUAUCAGGAGGAACACCGGUGGCGAAGGCGGGUCUCUGGGCAACAACUGACGCUGAGGAGCGAAAGCGUGGGGAGCGAACAGG
Molecule: ribosomal RNA, 253 nt
Filed under: uncultured bacterium
Lineage: Bacteria
Description: partial 16S ribosomal RNA
Rfam family: Bacterial small subunit ribosomal RNA
Source: RNAcentral